GACGAACGCUGGCGGCGUGCCUAAUACAUGCAAGUAGAACGCUGAAGAGAGGAGCUUGCUCUUCUUGGAUGAGUUGCGAACGGGUGAGUAACGCGUAGGUAACCUGCCUUGUAGCGGGGGAUAACUAUUGGAAACGAUAGCUAAUACCGCAUAACAAUGGAUGACACAUGUCAUUUAUUUGAAAGGGGCAAUUGCUCCACUACAAGAUGGACCUGCGUUGUAUUAGCUAGUAGGUGGGGUAACGGCUCACCUAGGCGACGAUACAUAGCCGACCUGAGAGGGUGAUCGGCCACACUGGGACUGAGACACGGCCCAGACUCCUACGGGAGGCAGCAGUAGGGAAUCUUCGGCAAUGGGGGCAACCCUGACCGAGCAACGCCGCGUGAGUGAAGAAGGUUUUCGGAUCGUAAAGCUCUGUUGUAAGUCAAGAACGAGUGUGAGAGUGGAAAGUUCACACUGUGACGGUAGCUUACCAGAAAGGGACGGCUAACUACGUGCCAGCAGCCGCGGUAAUACGUAGGUCCCGAGCGUUGUCCGGAUUUAUUGGGCGUAAAGCGAGCGCAGGCGGUUUGAUAAGUCUGAAGUUAAAGGCUGUGGCUCAACCAUAGUUCGCUUUGGAAACUGUCAAACUUGAGUGCAGAAGGGGAGAGUGGAAUUCCAUGUGUAGCGGUGAAAUGCGUAGAUAUAUGGAGGAACACCGGUGGCGAAAGCGGCUCUCUGGUCUGUAACUGACGCUGAGGCUCGAAAGCGUGGGGAGCGAACAGGAUUAGAUACCCUGGUAGUCCACGCCGUAAACGAUGAGUGCUAGGUGUUGGAUCCUUUCCGGGAUUCAGUGCCGCAGCUAACGCAUUAAGCACUCCGCCUGGGGAGUACGACCGCAAGGUUGAAACUCAAAGGAAUUGACGGGGGCCCGCACAAGCGGUGGAGCAUGUGGUUUAAUUCGAAGCAACGCGAAGAACCUUACCAGGUCUUGACAUCCCGAUGCUAUUUCUAGAGAUAGAAAGUUACUUCGGUACAUCGGUGACAGGUGGUGCAUGGUUGUCGUCAGCUCGUGUCGUGAGAUGUUGGGUUAAGUCCCGCAACGAGCGCAACCCCUAUUGUUAGUUGCCAUCAUUCAGUUGGGCACUCUAGCGAGACUGCCGGUAAUAAACCGGAGGAAGGUGGGGAUGACGUCAAAUCAUCAUGCCCCUUAUGACCUGGGCUACACACGUGCUACAAUGGUUGGUACAACGAGUUGCGAGUCGGUGACGGCAAGCUAAUCUCUUAAAGCCAAUCUCAGCUCGGAUUGUAGGCUGCAACUCGCCUACAUGAAGUCGGAAUCGCUAGUAAUCGCGGAUCAGCACGCCGCGGUGAAUACGUUCCCGGGCCU
RNAcentral lists this ribosomal RNA (1369 nucleotides) under uncultured bacterium. RNAcentral describes it as "bacterial SSU rRNA". It matches the Rfam family "Bacterial small subunit ribosomal RNA", at positions 28 to 1381 of the family's 1533-position model. The record is from RNAcentral.